CAGCCAACUAAAAGCCCCUGUUUCGGGCCCCUAAAGGCAGGCCUGUUCCCACGCUCCGCAGAGUUCGCACUCAUCAGAGUUCUUGCACUCACCAGAGUUUGUGUUCGCCAGAGUUCUCACGCUCCCCAGAGUUCCCGCGCUCCCAGAUUUCCCAUGCUUCCCAGAAUUCUUGCGCUCCCCAGAGUUCCCGCGCUUCCCAGAGUUCCUGCGCUCGCCACAGUUCCUGCGCUCACCAGAGUUCUUGCGCUCCCCAGAGUUCGCGCUCCCCAGAGUUCGCACUCACCAGAGUUCUCGCGCUCGCCAGAGUUUGCACUUGCCAGAGUUCUUGCUCUCACCAGAGUUCGCGCUCUCCAGAGUUUUCACGCUCCCCAGAGUUCCCGCGGUCCCCAGAGUUCUYGCGCUCGCUGGAGUUCACGCUUGCCAGAAUUUCCGCGCUCGCCAGAGUUCUCGUGCUCCCCAGAGUUCGCACUCACCAGAGUUCCCGCGCUCCCCAGAUUUCUCGCGCUCCCCAGAGUUCGCACUCACCAAAGUUCACGCUCCCCAGAGUUCUCAUGCUCACCAGAGUUUGCAGUCACCAGGGUUCUCAUGCUUGCCAGAGUUCACAUUCGCCAGAGUUCUCGCGCUUGCCAGAAUACCUGCGCUCCCCAGAGUUCCCGCCCUCCCCAGAGUUCGCACUCACCAGAGUUCCCGCGU
This 693-nucleotide long non-coding RNA is filed under the name Apteryx haastii (Great spotted kiwi). Its description in RNAcentral is "lncRNA (ENSAHAG00000014713.1)". The record is from RNAcentral. Lineage: Eukaryota; Metazoa; Chordata; Aves; Apterygiformes; Apterygidae.